AUGCUCACUCCAGCAGCACAUGUGCUAAAAUUGGAACAAUACAGAGAAGAUCAGCGCAGCCCUGCACAAGGGUGACACGCACAUUCAGGAUGAAUUCUAUAUUUUU
Small nuclear RNA from Octodon degus (degu), 106 nucleotides. Lineage: Eukaryota; Metazoa; Chordata; Mammalia; Rodentia; Octodontidae. The record is from Ensembl.